UACAGAGGUCCCAAGCGUUGUUCGGAUUCACUGGGCGUAAAGGGUGCGUAGGUGGCCAGGUAAGUUUGGUGUGAAAGCUCGGAGCUUAACUCCGAAAAGUCAUUGAAUACUAUCUGGCUGGAGGGUCGGAGGGGAGACUGGAAUUCUCGGUGUAGCAGUGAAAUGCGUAGAUAUCGGGAGGAACACCAGUGGCGAAGGCGAGUCUCUGGACGACUCCUGACACUGAGGCACGAAAGCUAGGGGAGCAAACAGG
Molecule: ribosomal RNA, 253 nt
Filed under: uncultured bacterium
Lineage: Bacteria
Description: partial 16S ribosomal RNA
Rfam family: Bacterial small subunit ribosomal RNA
Source: RNAcentral